RNAcentral lists this ribosomal RNA (995 nucleotides) under Pseudomonas sp. PJ921. RNAcentral's name for it is "bacterial SSU rRNA". It matches the Rfam family "Bacterial small subunit ribosomal RNA", at positions 1 to 1000 of the family's 1533-position model. Lineage: Bacteria; Pseudomonadati; Pseudomonadota; Gammaproteobacteria; Pseudomonadales; Pseudomonadaceae. The record is from RNAcentral.
UAGAGUUUGAUCCUGGCUCAGAUUGAACGCUGGCGGCAGGCCUAACACAUGCAAGUCGAGCGGAUGAAGGGAGCUUGCUCCUGGAUUCAGCGGCGGACGGGUGAGUAAUGCCUAGGAAUCUGCCUGGUAGUGGGGGAUAACGUCCGGAAACGGGCGCUAAUACCGCAUACGUCCUGAGGGAGAAAGUGGGGGAUCUUCGGGCCUCACGCUAUCAGAUGAGCCUAGGUCGGAUUAGCUAGUUGGUGGGGUAAAGGCCUACCAAGGCGACGAUCCGUAACUGGUCUGAGAGGAUGAUCAGUCACACUGGAACUGAGACACGGUCCAGACUCCUACGGGAGGCAGCAGUGGGGAAUAUUGGACAAUGGGCGAAAGCUGAUCCAGCCAUGCCGCGUGUGUGAAGAAGGUCUUCGGAUUGUAAAGCACUUUAAGUUGGGAGGAAGGGCAGUAAGUUAAUACCUUGCUGUUUUGACGUUACCAACAGAAUAAGCACCGGCUAACUUCGUGCCAGCAGCCGCGGUAAUACGAAGGGUGCAAGCGUUAAUCGGAAUUACUGGGCGUAAAGCGCGCGUAGGUGGUUCAGCAAGUUGGAUGUGAAAUCCCCGGGCUCAACCUGGGAACUGCAUCCAAAACUACUGAGCUAGAGUACGGUAGAGGGUGGUGGAAUUUCCUGUGUAGCGGUGAAAUGCGUAGAUAUAGGAAGGAACACCAGUGGCGAAGGCGACCACCUGGACUGAUACUGACACUGAGGUGCGAAACGUGGGGAGCAAACAGGAUUAGAUACCCUGGUAGUCCACGCCGUAAACGAUGUCGACUAGCCGUUGGGAUCCUUGAGAUCUUAGUGGCGCACUAAACGCGAUAAGUCGACCGCCUUGGGAGGUACGGCCGCAAAGUUAAAACUCAAAUGAAUUGACGGGGGGCCGCACAAGCGGUGGAGCAUGUGGGUUAAUUCGAAGCACGCGAAAAACCUUACCUGCCUUGACAUCCUGGAACUUUCC